GCCAGCAUGGAAUAGUGGUUUGAAGCUGGACUAUGACUGUGGAGACCAGGGUUCGAUUCUCUGUUCAGCCA
This is a non-coding RNA of Phrynosoma platyrhinos (Desert horned lizard), 71 nucleotides long. Lineage: Eukaryota; Metazoa; Chordata; Lepidosauria; Squamata; Phrynosomatidae. The record is from the annotation of a GenBank genome assembly.